This 32366-nucleotide long non-coding RNA is filed under the name Citrus maxima (pomelo). RNAcentral's name for it is "long non-coding RNA (CMAX_LNC000306)". The record is from RNAcentral. Lineage: Eukaryota; Viridiplantae; Streptophyta; Magnoliopsida; Sapindales; Rutaceae.
UGCCCAUACAUUAACAACCACACGAGUGUUUCUUAGAAUAUCAUAGCCAGCAACUCUGCAAUCAUCUCUAGCAACCCGAGGAAGAAGCAAUGGUGCCACAGGGUGGAGACGCAUCGUUUCUUUAACAAUUGCUUCUAUAUAUGGAAGGUUAACAAUGUCCUUUUCUUCUACCCAUCUGUCUUUCCCAAUCACUCUAUCUAGUUCUUCAGUCGCCUUUUGAAUAGCUUCUGGAUUUUUCAAGAGCUCUGACAUUGCCCAUUCCACGCUGAUUGCCGAUGUGUCAGUUCCAGCAGUUAAUAGAUCCUACGAAUCAAAAUGAAAAAAGAAUUAUGAUGAUACAGAUUUCCAAUACAGAAGACACCUUGAUAGUUGCAUUAUUUGGUGAUGUUUAAAUUACUCUGUGGGGAAACUAUUGCCUCAAUCAUUUAAAAACCAAAUUAUUUUCUGUUUUAUUGCACAUAUCAAUUUAGUACGUUAUACUUAAAAGAGUUAAUUUCCAUUAAUCACUAGAUAAAUUGGUAGAUUUUAAUUUAUCCCCAAGCUGUUAAAAACAUCAAUGUAGCCCUCAUUUAUCAGUACACGAGAAUGAAAUUCUUUCUCGAUCCUCUUGGUUCUCAAUAGUAAACCAUGAGAAAGGGUUAUUAUUUUCAAAAGAUUUGGAAAAUAAAUUGAAAUAUGUCAUACUUGAAAACUACUAUUUAGUUUUUUUAAAAAAGUACACGAAUUAAAUUCAAAUUUAUGAAUACGUUACUACUUCACGAGUUUUUACUAGUACACCGAACUUCAAAUUUACCUGGAUUAGUGCCUUUAUAUGUUCUCUUUCAAGCUUAACUUCAAGAGAAGGAUCAUCCGCAAGUUGCAUAAGAACAUCAACCAUAUCAUGAACCCCAUAAUCCUUAACUGAUUUUCUCCUCUCAUGGUGCUCAUCUAAAAUACCCUCGUAAAAUUUAUCAAGCUUCUUGCUCACAUCCUUCAUUCUCUUAACAUGCCCUUGUAAAUCAAAAGAAGCAAGCCAUGGAAUUGAGUCCCCAAUAUCCAAAAUACCAAUAAGCAAGAACAAUUCUUCAAUCAUUUCCGUGAAGUCUUUUGGAGUCACAGUAUUUUUUUCAGCUUCGUCCGUAUACCUUUUCCCCAACACCAUCCGACAAAUCGAAGUAAGAUUGAGUGUGUAGAGACGAUCUUUCAGAUGAACAGGUGUGGAAGCUGAUUUGAACAACUCCGAGAGGAAAGCAUUUCUUUCUUCUACCCUUAUGUACUCAAACUGAUCCAAGCGUUUUGCACUGAGAAGUUCCAUUAGGCAGAUUUUGCGAGCCUGGCGCCAAUAUGGGCCAUAGGGUGCGGUUGACAUUGCUGAGUAAUUGUAAGUUGUGUACUUCCCAGCAAGAAGAGCUGGCCUUGAAGCAAAGCUAAUGUCAUGAGUCUUGAGCAGAAGCUCUGCUACUUCAGCUGAUGAGCCUACAACAACCGGGGAGAGGCCGAAUUUUAGGUGCAUAAGGGGGCCGUAUUUUUGGGAGAGAGAGUGGAUGGAGACGUGAGGGAGAGGGCCGAUGAGGUUCAGGUUUCCGAUCAAUGGCCAUGGCCUUGGACCCGGUGGCAAGUUUAGUUUACGGGAAAAUUGGCGGUGAAACAAGAAGAGGACGAUGGGGAGGAAGAAGAGGAUUGAGUAAAAUAUAGCUGAGUUUGAAGGACCAGUCAUAGGAUUUUCCAUUAUUUUGGAUAAACUGUAAAAGGUGGUGACGAUGAUUUGAUUAUUGUGUCUGUGAAAGUGGAAGUGAAAGAGGUAUUUAUAAUGAUAUAAACAAGGAAGAGUAAAAUAAUCCCAUUCCAUUGUAGAUUUGAAAAGCAUAAGCAAGGGAUAGUUUGGUACUUUUAUUAAAGAAUAAUUUAUUUUUUCAAUUCUAACUUUUUUUUUUGAAAGAGAAAGUAAAGCUUUCAUUAAGAAUCAAUAGCGAGUAACAACAAAAUCUCAUCUGGGUAAUUUCCCAGCCAAACAGCAGAACUUACAUACUCUAAAGCUUUCUUUGCUAGCCCAUGAGCAAUACGAUUGAAAGAUCUUGAAACAUGCUGGAUUUGCACCCUACCUAGCCUCUUUAAGCUAUCUUGAAUUGUGGCUAUCUUCCAGAAGAUUUCCGUUCUGCUUCCUUUUCUGUUACAAGCAAGAUCAACCACCUCUUUUGAAUCUGACUCUAUGAUCAUUGGCAGAAAAUUUGUAUUUUGAGCCACCUGGAUGCCAAAAUUGAUUGCCUCUGCUUCCAUGCAGUCGACAUCCCCUUUGUAAAUGGUAUUCUGAACAGCUGCUGCUACAACCUUUGCUCUCGAGUCUCUGAUAACCACUCCGAGGCUUGCUGUCUGAUUUGAGGGUCUGAUGGCAGCAUCCACAUUCACCUUAUACCACCCAUUUGGAGGAGGUAGCCAUGUUUGUUGGUUGUUGCUCUGGUUCUGUGAAACAAUUUGGGUAGCUGGGAUUUUAAUCCUUCUGUAUGACUCUACAACUGCUGCAGCCCUUCCCACUGAUAUUUGAGCAUCUUCUUCUUUCCCUUUGAAAAUGAAUAGAUUUCUAGAAGACCAAAUUGACCAGCAUGUAGCAAUAAUCAGUUCCAUGUCCUUCAUACUCGCAAUUUUCCCCAUCUCCUGGAGGGUGCUUAAUAAAUCCUGUUGAGCCAACAUCUUCAUGUUCUGGUGAAAAUCAGUCAAUUUCCAGACCUUGUUGGCAUACUUGCAUCCAAUUAAGGAAUGAAAACCAUCUUCCUUCUCCUUACUACAUUUGCCACACAUUGGUUCCUUUAUGGCCUUUCUUUUCCAGAGGUUAUAGGCUGUUGGAAGCAUAUUCUGAGCUGCUCUCCACAUGAAAAUUUUAAUCUUUUCCGGGAUCUCCAUUGACCAAAUAAUCUUCCAAUGAGUUUUUGAUAAAUCUGAGCUGCUGGCCAAAUCUGGGGAUUUCAGUAUUAGAGAUAACUGAUACCCACUCUUAACAGAAUAAUUACCAUGCUUGUCAAAAUGCCAUAUCAAUUGAUCCAAUUGAGGAGAACUUGGAAGAAUGAUUCUUUUUAUUCUUGCUACAUCCUCUUCUGAAAAAUUAUGAGAAAUCACAUCUUCCUUCCAGGUUUGGUUGCUGAUCAGAUUAGCUACCACAGAAUUUGGGUGUAAUGUCUGGAUGGACAGAGGCUUUAGAUUUUCAGGCCUUGGAAUCCAGUUACUCUUAUAAACAUACACUUGCUCUCCGUUGCCGAUCCUCCAUCUUGAGCCUUUGUGAAUAAUCUGCCUGCCCCAAAGAAUGCUUCUCCACACAAAAGAUGGAUUUGCACCUAACUUUGCAUCCAUAAAACUGGAAUUCUUAAAGUACUUAGCCUUCAACACCCGAGCCAUCAAAGCCUCUAGAUUUUGAAUAAGUCUCCAGCCUUGCUUUGCAAUUAAGGCUUGAUUAAAGCAUGAGAAAUCUCAAAAUCCCAGCCCUCCUCUUAUCUUGGCUUGGCAUAGUCUCCCCCAUUUUGCCCAGUGAAUGCCUCUGUGCUUUCCUGCGGAACUCCACCAGAAUUUUGCUACAGCUUUUUGAAUGUCAUCGCAAAUGCUUUGAGGUAUUUUAAAUACACUCAUAACAUAUGCCGACACCGCUUGAGCCACAACAUUUAUGAGCACUUCUUUUCCCCCACAAGAAAAAAAUUUGCUUUCCCAACUGGUUAACUUAUUAAGCACCCUUAGCUUGGCAUAGUUAAAAAAAUUGGUCUUUUUUCUUCCCACCAUAGAUGGCAAUCCCAGGUACCUCUCAUGUCUCGAAACAACGUUCAAGUUAAAAAUGCUUCCUAUUUCAUCCAUUUGGCUCUGCUUUGUGUUGGUGCUGAAAAAUAUUGAAGACUUCUCAAAGUUGAAUAUCUGUCCCGAAGCAGCAGCAUACAUUUCAAAGAUCUUCUUUAGGUGCCUGCAGUCUACACUGGAAGCCCUUGAGAAAACCAAGCUGUCGUCUGCAAAAAGGAGAUGAGAAAUAGACAAAUUUCUACUGAACUUCAGCCCCUGGAUCGGCUUUUGUUUUUCAGCCUGCAUGAGUAAAUUCGAGAACACCUCUGCACAAAUGAUGAAUAAAUAUGGUGAUAAUGGGCAGCCUUGUCUUAAACCUCUUUGAGGAUAGAUUAAACCUUUCACCUCCCCAUUAAUCAAAACUGAAAAGCUUGCUGUGGAUAUACAGUUCAUGAUCAAGUUCACCCAAUUUGCCGAGAAGCCUAGCUGCUGCAUUGUGGUUUUCAAGAAAUUCCACUCAAUUCUAUCAUAGGCUUUGCUAAUGUCUAGUUUGAGCGCUACCAACCCAUAUUUUUUACCCCUACUUUGCCUAAUUUUGUUUAGGCAUUCAUACUCGAUUAUUACAUUAUUCGUAAUUAGCCUAUUCGGGAUAAAAGCGCUUUGAGUUGGAGAGAUAAUAGUAUCCAAAAUUUGCUUUAACCUAUUUGCCAAGGUUUUUGCCACAAUCCUAUAAAUAACAUUACAAAGGCUAAUUGUCCGGAAAUCAGUUACUUUCCUAGGAUUUUGUAAUUUUGGAAUCAAGGCAAUGUAAGUAUGAUUUAAAUGAGCGAUACUACCUCCCUCAUUUAGGAUGUGCAGGCAGGUAGUGGUUACACCUUCCUUGACUGAGCUCCAGUGCUUAUGAUAAAAGGCUGCUGGGAGACCAUCCGGGCCUGGAGCUUUGGUGGGGCACAUCUGAGCAAGAGCCUCUGCUACUUCCUCGGCAGUGAACUGUUGAUCCAGAAAGCAAUUCGUUUCUUCCGUUACUCGCUUUGGUAGUUCUGCUACGGCUGUCUCCAGCUGAGUUUGGGAUGGAUUCGUUGUGCUGAAAAUGUUUGCAAAAUAAUCACACAACAAUCUUUCCACUUCUUCUGCUUCCUCUUUCCAUAAUCCAUCUUCAUCCUCCAGCCCCAUUAUCUUAUUUUUUCUUUUCCUCGCCGAUGCCUUAGCAUGAAAAAAUUUAGUAUUUCUAUCCCCUUCUCUCAGCCAAUCCGCCCUCGAUCUCUGCUUCCAGAAGAUUUCUUCGUCAAUUAGAAUAUUAUCAAUCUGUCUUUCUAUGUUUUUGACUUCUAAUCCGCUGUCAUAAUGGCCAUAGUUCUGUCUGAUUUCCUUUAACCUCUCCUUCAGCUGCUUCAGCCUUUUUUGUCUGCCCUUGAACUCCUCGUUACUCCAUAGCUUGAGUUCAGCUAGUGACUCCUUUGACUUCCUUUGAAACAGAUCAACAGGAUUUCCCCUGUCCCAACAGCUUGAUUCCUUCCACUCUCGCUUAACUAUUUCUCUACAUUUCUCAUAUGGGCUCCACAUAUCUUCAUAAUGAACUCUGCGGAAAGUUCUUCUGGAAUACCUCAAACCACUUCCUUUUUCCAGCACUUCCAUAAGAAUUGGGUUGUGAUCGGAGCUCCAAGUCACUAGAUUCAUUGCUGCUUUCUCCUGGAAAUAAUGGCCCCAACUCCUACUGCAAAGAAAUCUAUCUAAUCUCUCUUCAAUCAACCCAACACCAAACCUCCUAUUUGACCAAGUAAAGGGAUACCCCGUAAAUCCCAUAUCUAUGAAAUCACAUUCCCUAACCGCUUCUCUAAAGUCAGCCACCGAGUUAACUUGUUUCUCAUUUCCUCCUAGCUUUUCAUUUAAAUUUAAGACUUCAUUAAAGUCCCCAAAACAGAGCCAGGGUAAAGAAGAUAACGUUGCUAACCUUCUCAACAAUUUCCAAGUAUGCUAUUUUUGAGCUGCUUCUGGAUGACCAUAUAUACCCGUACAUCUCCAAUAACUCCCCUUCUCACUAUAGACCACAGCAUCAAUAUGAUGACAACUGAAGGAUUUUAUUUCCACUGUUAUCUCCGAAUUCCAUAGCAUUGCCAAACCUCCCCCCAUUCCUUCUCUACUAACUGCAAAAUAGUUUGCAAAAUGCAGCUCGUAACUCCUUUUUCUCAUUUGCUCCCUCGUCAUUUUCGUCUCGCAAAAAAACACAAUUUGGGGCUUGUGCUCAUGGACUACCUCCUGAGCUUCUCGGAACGUCCGGUCGCUCCCCAAUCCCCGAACGUUCCAGCUUAAGAUCCUCAUGGCUAUCGGCGGGGCUGGUUUUCAGCCACCGCCGAUAAUUCAUUGACACUACAUGCAACUGCUUCCAUCUCUUCAUCCUCUAGCCUCAAUGUUGUAGCUUCUGUAAUGUUUAGUUGAGCUCGUUGAUGACAGCCAUAUUUUUUUGGGGUACUUCCUUUGAGCUUCUUUGAGUUUGGGCUUUCCAAAUUUAGCCAGCUAACCGACCUUUUUCCUUUUGUUUGCCCAUCUUUUGUUCCCCAUUUUCCUUCAUAAUUUCGUGCAUGAUACUUCCAUUUCCGUCUUUUGGGCCUAAGCUUUUCAUCCUUUAGCCCAUUGUUGCCAUCUUCGGCCUCUGACUCUAUUUGAAAGGAAAGCCCACUUGCCUUUUGUUUUUGCUCUAAACUUUCUAAUUUCCAGAUUUUUCCUUCCACUUCCCGCUCACCAUUUCCCGCUUCUUCUUCCACUAAAUUCAUGUCUUGUUGUAAUUUCUUUCCCGCCCAAUUUGUCCCUUUCCCAUGAACUGCAAUUUUGUCAGCCUGCUGCUCUGACCCUAAAUAGCUAUUCUCUAGCUCUCUGAGAUUUGCUGCUGCUUGUAUUAAAUGAUCAGCAUCACCUCCUUUACCCAUUUUUUUCUCUAAAGAAGGAUUAUCCAUACCCGAAUCCGUUUGGUUCUGGAUCAGAUUCCCUUCCACUUCUGCCCCUUUCUCCUCUACCUCACUUUGUCUCCUUUAUUUGAUCUGUAGUAGUUCAUUGUUUACUCCAGCUGAAUUUUUGGCAUUGAAUUGGCUGGAUUCUGUGCUCCAUCGAUCCUGUCCUCUACUUUGUCUUAGCCGUUUUGCCAUGGUUGUUGCUUUUAGCCAUGGGCCAUAAGCUAGCUGAUCUUUGGGUUGAGACUUAUAAUGACCACACUCUCUAUAUUGAUGACCGAUACGCCCACAGCAGAAGCAAAAAUCAGGGAGCCUUUCAUACUGCACCAGCAUUGGGAUCUCUUCCUUCUUCGUUUUUCUCAUCCCAUUUCUCCAUCUGUUCCAGCACAACAAUCUUCUUUAAUGGCUUUGUGAUGUCCACCGAAAUCCUCAUUCGUAAGAAUUUUCCUAUACAUUCCCCCGCUGCAUCCGUUUCAACUUCCUCUACUCUUCCGAUUGCUCCACCCAAUUCUGCAGCUGUCUCUUUUUCCAUACACAUAAUUGGAACAUCAUGUAGUUGUACCCAAAAGGAUACAUGAUUGAAGUUUAGUUUCUUAAUGUCACCAAUUCCAGAAGGUUCGAUAAGCACGAUAAGUGCUCUGUCAAAAUGCCAUGGUCCACCCGCUAGAAUUCUUCUUUUAUCUUCAUUUGAUCCAAACUUGAACAUGAAAAUAUUAUCACCCAGUCCUUCAAUUUUGACUUCCUUGCCUGUUCUCCACACCUGUUGCAUUGCUACUCUCAAUCUUUCUACUUUGACUUCUCUUGAUAAGAAUAUUUUUCCGACCAAACAGCCUGUUAAUAUCUUUUCCCCUUUUGUUUUCAUUCUGCUCCUAAACGUGACUUUCCCUUCUUCUUCUUCACUUAGCUGGAUGGCUCUGCACCGCUUAAUUAACUCAUCUGUAUCCAUUUGCUUUAGCCGCCAGUAAUUAAGAACUGCAGCCAGUGGUUGGACACCAAACUCCUUAAAACUUUCUACCCAAAUCCUGCAACUCCUGCUUCUAAAAUUAAUCUAGAAUACUUCCUCUGAGAGCAUUAAAACCAACGAAAGUCAAAGACAGUUCAAAGAGCCACACUCAUGACGAGAGACUAAAGUUAGAGUCAUGACAACUCUGUUUACCACUCCCAUCCUUUUGUUUUCAGAGAAAACUUCAGGAGGGAUCUUUUUUCCCUACUCAAUUUUAAUGUUUUUGGUUGGUGGUCGUCAGCUCAUUAUAUAUAGAUGUAUAAAAUUUAAAUGACAUAAACGUGCUCUACAGAGUUAGGCAUGCACGUGUAACACAACAUUUGUUACUACUUAUUAGACGACCUUAGUCCAGAUACUAAGCACUUCCUAUUUCAGCUUCUAUUUUAGGCUGGAGUAAAAUUUGAAAUGCUCUUGUAUUUAUUCUUUCAAAAACUUUUGACCCCACACUCAAUAUUUUUGUUAUAAUUCGGUUCGCUUACGAAUUCGGGUUGGUAUGAAAUAAUAUAACAAGUAAGAACUGUGAAAGUUGUAAUAUAGUUGCUUGGUUGUUGAGAAAAAAAAAGAAGAAAAUAAAGGGAAAAAUGAAAUUGAAAUAAAAGAGUUGUAUUAUUAUUACACGCAACUGUACAUAAGCGAAUUGUAUUUAUAUUGUAUCAAUGUAACUAACUUGUUAAUAACAAAUUUAUUAGCUUACCAAUAGUAGAAUGACAAAUGUAUAAUCUUAAACAAACUUGAGCCAUGCUGACUAACUAACUAAUGAAACUUGCUGAGCUUUAGCUGCUAAGCAUGCUAGAACCUUCUAAAUCAUGUUGGAACCUUCACAUCCCCCCUCAAGUACAACAUUGGAAACAAUGUUGAGCUUGGAAUGAAGAUAGUAAAAUGGCUGAAAGGGUAAGGCUUUAGUGAAAAUAUUUGUUGUCUGAUCAAGGCUGGGAAUGUUUGAAUGUGCAAGCUUUUGUUAGCUACCUUUUCUCGUAAAAAAUGAACAUCAAAUUCAAUGUGUUUAGUUUGAGAGUGAAAUUUAGGAUAGCUGGCUAGAGUUAUGGUACUUUGGUUAAAAUACCAAAUAACAUGGAUAAAUGUAGGAGAAACAACAAGUUUAGUAAGGAUCUAAUCUAGAGCACUUUUGAGGUUGCUAUAGCAAGGGCACUAUACUCAGACUCAUUGUUGGACCUGGAAACUACAGGCCGCUUUUUAGAACACCAUGAGACCAGAUUACGUCCUAAAUAGACAUAAUAGCUAGCAACUAAUCUUUCAUUAUCUUUAUCAAUUGCCCAAUCUGCAUUUGAAAAACAUUCAAGAUAAAGUGAACCUGAUAAGUAGAAAAAAAGAUCAAGAUUAAUGGUGCCUUUAAAAUAUCUCAACACCCUUUUGCAAGCUUGCCAAUGGACCUCAAUAGGUGUACUAAGGAAUUGACCGAGCUUAUUAACAAAAAAUGCAAUUUCCGGUCUUAUGAGACUGACAUUUUAAAGAGCACCAAUUGUGCUUCUGUACAAGCUAACAUCUGAGAAUGAAACACCAUUAGUUUGAGUUAAAGGAUUCCCAGAAGCCAUAGGAGUAGCACAUGGUAUGCUAUCUUACAUAUUGACUUUGGCAAGUAGAUUAGCUACAUAUUUGGAUUAAGAAAGAAGCAAGCCAGAAGUAUUUUGAGUAACUUGAAUACCCAAUAAAUAAUGAAGAUCUCCCAAAUCCUUCAAGGCAAAUGUUGAUUUCAAAUCAGUGAUAAUUUGAACAAUUAAAGAAUGACUGGAUCCAGAUAAUAUCAUCAACAUAUAACAGGAGAAGAGUGAGCUGGUUAGCUUGUCUUUUAAAGAAUUGGAGUUAGAGAAACCCCACUGAGUAGUUAAAGCUAGUUUAAAUCUUUCAAACCAGGUUCUUAGGCUUGUUUAAGCCCAUUUCAAGCUUUAUGAAGCUUACACACAUGAGUAGGUCGAGCUAGAUCGACAAAACCUUCUCUUUGUUGUGUGUAUCAUAUUCAUGACCCCUUAUUCUCUUUUGAAACUGCAAAAUGAUUCAAGGUGGCAUGUUAAAUGAAACAUUCUUAUAAAGAGCUCCACUAUUAGUUGGAUUUUAUUUCUACUCCUUAUAUUAGCAUGUGAACAUUAAGUCAUUAACAUAAUAUAGAACUUAGAACUUUCGUUAUGCAAUAUUGGGCCCUUGAGAGUUUCAGAGUUUUCAACCCUUAACAAUUUGUGUUUUAGAGUAGGAUAACCUGAUGAGUAAAAAUGAUUAAUAUUUUUCUCAAAAGAUGUAUAGUGAGAGUAAUUUUUUUUUUUUUUUUUUGGGUAGGUUUUUCCAGAUUGGCUCUAUUUUUCUUGCUCUGCAUGAUGCAAGUGAUGUUUUUAUGGAAGUUGCCAAAGUUUUUAAGUAUUUUGAGAAUGAACUUGGAGCAACUGUGAUCUUUGGAUUAUUUGCAAUAUCUCGGGUCAUUCUACAAUUAAUAUUCUUUUCCUUUCGGGUCAUCAAAUGUACAAGGUUUGCCUGCAUGAUAAAUGAUGUGAUGCCACUUUAUGUGGUCGUCUAGCAGUUUCUUUGGCUUAUUUGCUUUUGUGAUUUGCAUUUUCUAGCUAUGAUCUUUAGUUCUACUUGAACUUAUCAGAGAUAUGUUCAUUUACUACAUGUUCAAUACAAUGUUGCUGAUGCUCUUUGUGUUCCAGAUAUACUGGUGGGUUCUCAUAUCCUCAAUGAUCUGGAGACGGCUGAAAAGUGGUAAACUUAGGGAAGACAUAAGAUCUGGUAAGCAUUUUGAUGCUUCCAUUAUCAGUUUGAAUCAUUUAAUGUCAUCAAUUAUUCCCAGUAGUCUUUCUCAAAUAAUCAUUGUUUUUGCUUUGAUAGUCUGCAGGAAACUUGAUCCCAUAUAAUAGUUUUGCUAGAACUUAAUUAGUUAUAUUCAUAUGUGCCUAAGCCUUAGCCAUAUUUAAGUUCUUGUUUCAAAACCCAGAUAUAAUGAACUUAUAAUUGGAUAUUAAUUGUAAAUCAAACAAAAGGGUAAAGGAAUUAAUUAGUUAUAUUCACAUAUGCCUAAGCCUUGAAGGAAAGUUAACUGCCUUUAUGGGUACCCUUUUGGUUCCACAUUUUAUUGCAGCAAAGAAUUAAUUUAAGUUACAUCAGAAACUUGGAGUUUUACUUCAAUAGAUAAUUAUUUAUAAUGAUACUAUUGGCUAUAGUCAAUUGGUGUUGCACCUGCAGGUUGAGAGAAAUUGCUGGACUUAAGAGUUUUGCUGGGUAUUUGUUGAGAAUGAGAGUUUAUCUACUGGAAUUUCACUGAGAAUAUGGGAGGUGUUUUGCACUACAAGAUUUGACGGCUUCAUAGCUUGUAAAAUUUAAAGCAUUUGCUCGAGUUAACUUUUUUUUAUUACUUUGGAUGUGUUAAUUUUUGGAUACAAGUGUUUUUGGAUGAUAUUAUUAAUAUAAAGCGUUUUUAGACUUGAUAGAAUGUAUAGUCUAAUUUUUGGUUUAUAUUGAAUUUGUGAUUAAAUUCAUAUGCAAGAAUGCAUAGAUUUAAAUAAAAUAAUUCAGAAUUUCUUUUAAUAUAAAUUUAGAUCCUGUGACAAAAAAAUCAGUCAUAAAUUAUGUCACAAACAAAAUAAUUAAUGAUAAAAAAUUUCAAUCAUUAAUUCCAUCACAAACAAAAUAGUUUACCCACUAAAAUUAUUGGAUAAUAAUUUACGUGUAAAAAAUAAUUUUCUAGCUAAAAUUUAAGAUAAAAAAUUAAUUAAAAUAUUCAUUUUUAAGAUGACAAACAUAUGACUUCGAAACACUAUAAUAAAUUAUUGACAUGCUUUUUCUUUAUCAUAAAAGAGUAACAAGUACAUAGAUAAUAGAUAAAUUCACUGUCAUCUACCUCCCUUUAUGAUAAUUUUUUUCAGUCAUCUAUUGUUAGUUUUCUUAUAGUGUAAAAUCUUAAAUUAUAUUACUGUUUAAAAUAAAAGCUUAAUUCCUUUGGAAUAAAUUAUUCGGUCCCCUGUGAAUGAUCAUCUUAAAAUUGAAUUCGUUCUUGCAAAAUGAAAAUUUCUCUUCGACAUUGGUGGGCGGAAAAUCUGAUCCCUUAAUCACUUAUUUUAGUUCUUUACAAUAGCCCAUCCAAUUGAUUCAUCCCUGGAGAAAACUUACUCACAAAAGUUGGAUUGGAAUAUUUUAAUAUAACGUAUACCAUGAUUUAAGCUCUAACAAUUCAAUUAUUACAUGCACAAUCACUAUGGAGGUCUGAAACUGGAACUCAUAAGACAAAUUAAUGUUGACGACGAAUCGCUAUCCAACCAAAUAAAAUUUCAUCGUUUGAUGUGCUAAGUUUCAAGAGCAUAGGAAAAGAUUAAAAGCUCUACUGACUAAUUUUCUUAAGGUACAAGAACAUGUUUAUACAUGAGUAGAGGAAUUAUCUAUGGAAGAAACGUAUUUGAUGUAGUGCGGAAGCGAUACUAGAUAUUGUUUUAGCGUACGUUCUUGAAAUUGAAGAAAGAAUAACUCUCUAGGAGAGAAAUCGUCGAAUUAAUGAUAAGAUAAACUCAGAGAAUAAACUGAAAUAUUAUUGAUAAAAGGUUUAAAGGUGUUAUAAUAAACUACCAAUAACAAUAGUAUUUUUACUAUUAGCUAAUUUAAUCCUAAUCAUUCUCAUCUAAGAGAAAUAAUAUGAAAUCCUAAUUAAAUUAGAAUUACAAAUACGAUCCAAAUAAGUAUAAUAAAACAAGUUAAAUUUAAUAAAAUACUAAAGAAUAAAUUAACUCAAAAUUUAGAAUUCCUAACUUAUUCUGUCCCAUAUGCUUCCCACAUCAAUCUCUACAUCUUCGAAAAGAACAUCCUCGAGUUUUGCUGAAAACAGAAAAUAAUCUGGAGGAUAAAAUUUGUGGUGAAGAAGUAAUUGAUCUUGUAACGUGAACUUGUAGCACUUUGCAUCAACUUUUCUUGAAAUUCGAAAGUACCAAAACUUCAAUUUCUUCUUAAUUUUGAGUAUGGCUCUUCUAAAAUAUGCAAACUUGUACGAACAAACCAUUAGAAUUUCCUUUUAACUUUCUCUAUGCUUUGCUCAAUGUAUUUUUCAUUCAAUUUCUCCUUCUGAACUAAAUCUUCUUUAAGCACAAAUUUAUCUUCAAUGUAGAUACAGAUAACCAUAUCAAUUAUAUCAGUUCUUCAAGAACAAUUUGCUUAGCUCCAUGAAUAAUUGAUAAAACUAUAUCAACUUUAUCACCUUCAAGAACAAUUGUUGUCUUUUCACCUAGAGCUUGUUGCACAAUUUUAACUAUAUCAUUAGAUAUAAAACUCAAAUCAAGAAUGGAUUGUACCUCUUUAUUGGAAACUUCAUGUUUAUUUAGAAUCUUUUCAAAAGAAGAUUUUGUGACAUUCUUCUUUUCCAAUGAUGAAAUCGAUAAAACUUUAUCUUCCACAUUUAUAUCUUCAACUUCAAAAUCUUGGAUAAAUUCUUUCUUUUUACUUAUUGCAAUAGUUGAAUCUUGAAUAAUCAAUAUAUCUUUAAUAACUUCUAUUUCAAGCACAACAUUUCUUUUUAUGUCCAAACUAUCAACCUCAAGAGUGAAAGAAGGUUGCUCUUCAAUAAUAGAAUCCUUCGGUGAUGAGAUUUUCACUAUAGGAUCUUGCUUCAACGAAGAACUAUCUUAUUUUAGAACAAAUUGUACGAGACUCUUGAUCUUUUUGUCUUUGAUUGUCACCAUGCUCUUGCACUCAUUCAAAUCUCUUCAAUGCUUGCUUUCUCUCUUUCUUGACCUGCAAUUCGACUUUAAAAGUAAAUUUAAUGACAUACCAAUAUUCAUGAGUAUGAUCAAUUUGGAACAAACUCAUUCUUUAGUAUUAGCAUGUAAUCUUUUCACAAAUCUUGAAAUUGUAUUUCAUUAUCUUUAAAAAGAUUCACAUGACAACGAUAAUUUUGAAGUUGAGAUUCAUAAAAUCAAACAUAAUUUGUAUCUUGUUGACGCUUAUCAAAUUUACGAUGGAUUGUUUGAAAAUAUUCAAGAGGUAAAAAAUAAGUUUUUGUCUUCCUUUUCAUGUUAUGCCAAGUUCAAGUCUUGUCUCUUCCAUAUUGAAGUCGUUUUGCUUGUAAAUUUGUCCACCAUUGCGAUGCAUGUCCGAUUAAUUUAAAUGAAACAUACUCAACAUGUGUAUCCUAUAGAAAGAAUAUCUUCAAGAGUAUCUUCAAUUUUGAAAAUCUAAUUGAAAAUAUCCCAAGAAUUAGUUAAUCCAUCAUAAUAGAAAAAGAUCAUUGUCAUCUUUUCUAUAUCUCAAUGUACCACUUUUGUUUUUAAAUUUUCUCUUUUUUCUUUUUUGUUUUGGGGUCUUUUAUAAGAACAGAAAUAUUAAAAGGAUAAUAAUGUAAUUAAAAGAAAAUAUUAGGCAAAACUUAUAAAUAAGUUAAAAUAUGGAUUUACCGGCGAUGAUGAUUGGAAAAGGAAAGGUAUAUCUAGAAGAGUUGAUGAUGGUGAGUGUGAUGGUGGUGGUGGUUUCACUCGGAUCAUGAUAGUUGAUCAGAAAAUUGAAGUGAUUGGAGGUAUGUUUUGGUUUUCGGUGAGUGGGGUGCGGUUGGCAGAGGGAUUUGGUUGAAAAAAGAGGUCUGAUGAAGGGAAGUAAUUUGGUUCUGGUGGUGGCUGGUAAAUGGGAUGGACAACAUCGAAACGAGAAGUGUUUGGUGUGGCAUUUUAACGACUCUUUUGGGUAGUUUUCAGCGGCUGAAAUGGUGGAUUGAUGGUUCUUGAUGGGUGGGAUUUGGUCGGUGACGUGAGUACAUUCAGAUGGGGUGAGGAUCUUCGCUGAAAGAAGAAGGAUGCCAAAGGCAACAGCCUUGCGCGGUGGCUGUGAGGUGGCUUCAAGUUUUGCUGUUUUUUUCUUUUUUCACUUGGUGGAAUUAAUGGAUAAGGAGGAAGGAUUUGAGUAUAGAAGACUAUUGAUGGUUAAGAAAGCUCUACUUAGAAUAGAUAAAGGCUCUGAUAGGCAGUGUGAAAGUAAUAUUAGAUCCCGUUCUAGUACGUUCUUGAAACUCAAGAAUAACUCUUAAGAGAGAAACCAUUGAAUUAAUAAUAAAAAUAAAUUCAAAGGGAAUAAUCUAAAAUAUUGUUGAUGAAAAGUGUAAAGGUGUUACAAUAAAUUAUUAAUAACAAGCCUAUUUGUACUAAUAACUAACUUAAUCCUAAUCAUUCUCAAAUAAUCUAAAUAAUCUAAAAUCUUAAUUAAACUAGAAUUACAAAUACCACUUAAAUAAGUAUAAAAAAAUAAGAUAAAUCUUAAUAAAAUACUAAAUAUUAAGUUGAUUCAAAAUUUAGAAUUCCUAAUUUAUUUGACCCUAUAUGCUUCAUACUUUAAUAUAACAGAAAUCAUGAAAUACUUUCUAAACUCAGUCAUUGACUAACCGUUGGCUAAAUUAUUGUGAAUAUGAGGAGAAUUUGGACUUGAAAUGAUAAUGGACUGUGUGAGGCGUUUCAGUUGUAAGUCUUUUGUUAGAGCAAUAUAGAUUGUCAUUUUUGUUUUCCAGUGAUUUGUUACUUGCCAUGUUGAUGCAAGAUUGAGUUGGUGUGCUGAUUCCAAAUUGGUACGCGACUCGUGUGGCUACUUGUGCUUUAUGUGUUGUGUUUGUUUGAAUUUCGCAGUGGUGGGCAUUGUAUCUUAACAUAAUGCAACAAGCUCAAUAGCCCAACAAUAUGAAGUAUUUAUUACUACACCUAUCUGUACAUAAAAUUGUUAUUUAUAAUGUACAAAUGGAUUCGAAUCCUUCUUAUUUUUUCUCUCUUUAUCUCUUCUUUUCUUCGUAAUCUGGUGGAAAAAAGCUAGCUUGAUUAUAAAUAAAUUAAAAAAAUAAAUAUAGAGGUAAGAGGAAAAUUAAAAAAUAAAGAGAAGAUCCUUAUCCAUUCAAAUAGAGCAGCAUUAAAUGGCAUUUUCGGUAAUGGAAGCUUGAACUUAAAGCCCAUCAGUCUCUAGUAUUUGUGUGAUCAUUGGGUUAAUCUGGGGAGAAAGCAAAAUAAAAACUAAAACAAGGACAAGAUAUAUGAUAAAUUAAUUUUUUAAUCUAAAUUGGAAAAUUUUGAUCAAUUGACCUUAGAGCCGGUGACCUUUUCAAAAUUUUUGCCAACAGUUCUAUAUGCUUAAAUGAAAAUGCUAUUGAUAAAAGAAACUAAAUUCCCAUUAAUUUUCCUUAAAAACAUUUUAAAUAAAAUCAUUCAUCAAAUCAUAAUGUUGAAAAAUUAAAGAAUUUUAGUGAAUAUAUAAAUUUAAAUGAAUUUUAGCUUCAUUAGAGUACUAGAAUGAAAAUGCAUGUCACCUAUUUUAAUAGUAUUUUGAGUUUUGUUUCUUUUAAAAGGGUUAGGCAAGAUCCCUUUAUUUGUAUAUUAAAAUAAAAAUGAAAAUAAAAACAUUUGGUAGACCAAAACCCGCAAGGUAAAAAAUAACCAACAAAAGAAAAAUAGCAAAAGUAAAUAAAAGAAAUAAAGAAUAAACAAGAGAACACCCUAAGGCAAACCUAAUAAAAUAAACCAUAUGAAGGUGAGCUAACUCUUAGAAUACCGUUUACUAUAGUACUUGCGUCCAAUGACUAACUAAAAGCGCUUUUUUGAACAUGAGGUAUGAGGCUAGUAACACUAAAGUCGGGGCUAAGAUCACAUUCCAUAGUACCCUCAAGCUUAGAUAAAAAGUAUUCAUUAGCUAUAAUGAGAAGGAAUAUCUAGAGAGUGGGAAUUGAAACCUAUAGCCAUUGCGCGAAUAUUAUCCACUGUAGCUUAGAAAACGUAGAGCCCAUGGAUAUCACCCAAAGCAUCCAAAAUCAUAUCAUCACCAUCAUUAGUCAUAUUAACUAGGAUCUGCAAAAAAUAAUCACCGCGAUCCCAAGGCUUAACAACUAGAUCAGACUGAAUAGGAAUGGCAAUAUCAUCAAUAAUAAGAUCAUUAGUAAAAAUUAGAAUUAGAAUGAGGCCACUUGGCCAACUAAAUCCACAUCAUCAUCUCGAGCAUCAGAAAUAGGGAUUCUAGCAUCUUGAAAUGCACUUGUAGUAACAUCGGGCCAUAAAGGCUGAACCACCCCACGAAAAAUAGGCUGCUAAGUCAAACCAGAAAAUUGUCCUUAAACAAAAGAAGGCUAAGCAAUAGGCCCCCCAUGUUGAUUAUCUACAACAACAACAUAUUGAGGAACAAUGAGAACCUAAGGCUGAACAUCUAUAACAGACAUAAAUUACUUACCUUUAUCUCUAGUAUCUUUACCCUGAGGUUUAUUAAUAGGUUGUUGGGGCUUUUGAAGCCCAUAAUUACUACGUAGCAACCAUUUACAUAAUGACCAAAAUGCUUAUACAAAAUACAAUAAGAAACAACCUAUUAAAAAAUCCUACUAAAAGUCAGAAUCACCCUCACUAAUCCAAAGGCAAGGUAAACAAUGUCACAAAACAUCAUUUUCUAUCAAAACUGUAGCAACUGAAGGCCUAUUAAUAGAACCAAUAGCAUGGUCAACACGUAACGUUUUCCCUAUCAUACCAACUACUAAACAUGAUGCUUCUUUGUAAUGAAUAAAGUGAAUAGGUAAAUACAACAAAGAAACCCAAAUAGAAACCACAAGGGAUUCCUUAGAACAAUAAAUGGCAGUGGGCCAUUUAAAGAUCCUCAUAGCUUUACGACUGAUAUAUCAUUUCUGCCCAACCCAAAUUUCGAGGAUAGUCUUCCUCUAACUGAAGCUUUCUUAAAACAUGUCAGUUAUCAAGCAAGGUACUUGAGUACUUCUUUUUAAGCCAAGGAGAUAAAAAAAUUCCUAAUCAUCUCCAUUGGAGGUGGCUAAAAGAGAACUUACCCACCAGAGACAGCUUGAAUGGUUUAGCCAUGGUCGAAACCUCAGCAACUAUAAAAUGAAUAGCAGGUUUGCCUCGAUGAAGGAUGCCCAUAUUAACAAAUAAAUAUAGGCAAUACGAACCUACAACAAUAUCAACAAAGGAUUUAGAGGGCCUAGAGGCAACAUUAGGGUCAAGGAUGGACACUAGAUUGACUGCAGAAGCAUAUAAUAACUUAGGGAUAGUAGAAGAGUAAUAGGUAGAAGGAUUUGUGCUGGUGGUCAAGCUUAGGUGGGCCCAUAAAUAGGUUGCACACUAUCAGUGUUUGUUUUGUCACGAUCUAAGGUUUGAGAUAGAUUGUGAGCAUGCAUUUGCAAAGAGGCAGUGGCUUGUUUGUGACUAAUGGUCAUUAAAGACAUUAGAGGCGGUUGGGCAGGGUCAAGAAGGGCUAAUCCAAUGAGGAAUGCAGCAGCUAUUGGUGAUUAAUGGCAAUGAUAGAAGGCAACAAAGUCAAUGGAAGCAAUUGUUGGUGAUGAGACGCAUGCGACUGGCUAGGGUUUGACGCACGCGUGUGUGAAAGAGACACGAUUAAUGGGACUUGGUAAGGGUGAUGGCUAUGAGGCAGUUGUAGGGUGGCAAAGAAGGGAUUAAAUUAUCACUAAGGGUGGUGGGGGGGGCGACGGCAUGAGAAGGAAAGCGAGCAAUGGUUGGCGACAUUGCAAGGCCAAAAACGGCAACCAAAAGGAGUUGUGUGUGGCGAAGGGCCUUCCGGCUAGUUGCAUGGUGGCCGGUGGUGAGGGGUGGUGCUGAUAGUGUCUUCUCGCCAUCACCAGUAGCCGGUAAGGCCAUACCAGCAACAAGAAAGUAAAAGGAGUGUGGUGGCUAUAUGAAUUGGGAUUUCAUCGUUUUAUCUUUUUUUUUGUGUAUCAAACUAUCUGUUGAGUUGUGUCCCACAUUGGCUAGUAAAGGGGAAAUACUUGGGUUUAUAUGAUGGUAGGUCACUCCACCUAAAAGGUUAGCCUUUUGGGUUGGAUACCUAGAAAUCUUAUGCUAAGUCCCCCCAACAAAUUGGUAUCAGAGCAGUCACUGCUUUCUUUAAUCUUGGAAAUGGGAUCAGCUAGGCUUGAGGUGGAAAAAUUCACAGGUGAAAAUGACUUUCACCUGUGGAGGCUCAAGAUAAGAGCUUUGCUGGUGCAUCAAGGUUUGGAUGAAGCUCUUGUUGAGGAAUCAUCUUCAAAGAAGCCAAGAAAGGUUUCUGUUGAAGAUCUACCUGAUGUGCUGAACAGAGCUCAUAGUGCUAUAAUCUUGAGCCUGGGUGAUGGAGUACUUAGAGAAGUUAGUGGUGAGAUGACAGCUGCAGGGUUAUGGAAGAAGCUUGAAGAUUUAUAUACCAAGAAAUCAAUGGCUAAGAGAUUAGCCACCAAGAAAAAGCUUUACACAUUACAAAUGGAAGAGGGAUCAUCGAUCACAGACCACAUUGAUGCCUUCAAUAAGAUCAUUCUUGAUCUUGAGGACAUAAAUGUAAAGAUUGAUGAUAAAGAUAAAGCAAUGAUCUUGCUGUGCUCAUUACCAAGCUCCUUGAACAUCUGGUUGACACACUAAUGUAUGGGAGGCAGACUCUUACAAUGGUAGAUGUGAAGGAAACUUUGAGCUCCAAGGCAGCUACAAAAAGGGAUUCAAGAGAGGCUGAAGGUUUAAUGGCAAGAGGGAGAUCUGAAAAGAAAGAGAGCAACAAGGGGAAGAAGAAAAGAUCCAAAUCCAGGUCCAAGAACAUGAAAUGCUUCGACUGCCACAAGGAAGGCCAUUUCAAGAAGGAUUACCCAGAAAAGAAAAAUAAGCCAAAAGAUACAAGGGAGAAAACUGGAGAUGCUGUUGUUGCUUCAGAAAGUCAAGAAUAUGAUGGAUAUGACUCAGCUGGAGUUCUACUUGUGACUGAUGACCAAACCAGAGGUAAUUGGGUUCUAGAUUCUGGUUGCUCCUUUCAUAUGUGCCCAAAUAAAAAUUUGUUCCUUAACUAUGAAGCCUAUGAUGGAGGAGUAGUAGUAAUGGGAAAUGAUGCAAUCUGUAAGGUAGUUGGGAAGGGCAUAAUAAGACUAAAAAUGUUAGAUGGUAUGACCAGGGAGUUAGCUAAUGUAAGACAUGUACCUGACCUGAAGAGGAAUCUAAUCUCCUUAGGCAUGCUAGAUAAAAUGGGUUGUCUUGUUAAGCUGGAAUCAGGUACCUUAAAGGUGAUGAGAGGGUCAAUGGUAUUAAUGAAGGGAAGUUUAAGCAAUGGCCUGUAUGUGCUUCAAGGUACAGCAGUUACAGGGGCUGUUGGGGUCUCAAACCAGAGUCUAGAUAAAACAAUGAUGGGGCAUUUAAGGUUAGGUCAUAUGAGUGAAAGAGGGCUGAGGGAACUGUCAAAGCAGGGAGUCUUAGGGAAGGACAAAAUAGAGACUUUGAGGUUUUGUGAAGAAUGUGUAUUAGGCAAGUCUUCAAGAGUAAAAUUCAGUACUGGAGUCCAUAACUCAAAGGGAACCCUAGACUAUAUCCAUGCUGAUCUGUGGGGACCUGCACAGACAGCAUCCUUAGGUGGAGCUAGAUACUUCAUGUCUCUAAUAGAUGAAUUUUCAAGGAUGGUGUGUGCUUAUGUGUUAAAGAACAAAGAUGAUGCUUUUGAGAAAUUCAAAAUCUGGAAGACCUUGGUUGAAACACAAACCAACAGAAAAGUUAGAAGGUUGAGAACUGACAAUGGGUUAGAGUUUUGCAACAAAAGGUUUGAUGAUUUUUGUGCUGAAAAUGGGGUUGUGAGGCACAAAACAGUGAGACAUACACCUCAGCAAAAUGGAUUAACUGAGAGGAUGAAUAGAACCUUGAUUGAUAAGGUAAGGUGCAUGCUUAUUCAAUCAAGGCUACCUAUGUCAUUAUGGGCAGAGACCCUAUCCACUGCCUGUUACAUUGUUAACAGGAGUCCAUCUUCUGGAAUCAACUUCAGAACUCCAAUUGAGCUUUGGACAGGUAAGCCAGCUAACUAUUCAAACUUGAGGGUGUUUGGAUGCCCUGCAUAUGCUCACACAAAGCAAGGGAAACUGGAACCUAGAGCUCUUAAGGGUGUGUUAUUGGCUAUCCAGAAGGGGUAAAGAGAUAUAAACUUUGGUGCACUGAUUUCAAGCCACCAAAAGCCAUAAUCAGCAGAGAUGUGGUCUUCAAUGAAGCUGAAGUGUGCAAACACUUAGAAGCCUCAAAGACUGAAUCCAACCACCACAUGAGUGAGAACCACAAGUCUCAGUUUGAGGUGGAGUCAUCAACUACAGCUGCAAAAAGGAGGACCAUUGUUAAAUCAGAAUCUGAAGCUGAGAAUAAUAUGUCUGAAUCAGAAGCUGAAUCUGAAGAUGAUCAAGGUGACAGGAGUUAUAAACUUGUAAGAGACAGGGAAAGAAGGGUUAUAAGACCACCUAAGAGAUAUGCACAUGCAGACCUGAUUGCAUUUGCAUUAACAGCAGCACAUGAACUUGACACAGAUGAACCAAAAACAUACUCAGAAGCUGUAAGAGGAAAUGAAUCAGAAAAAUAGAAGGCUGCUAUGGAUGAGGAGAUGCAGUCACUGUUCAAGAAUCACACUUGGACUUUAAUUGAAAAACCACCAAAUAAGAAGGUAGUUGGCUGUAAGUGGGCUUACAAGAUUAAAGAAGGUAUACCAGAAGUUGAGCCAAAUAGAUACAAAGCCAGGCUUGUAGCCAAAGGCUUCACACAAAAGGAAGGUGUAGAUUAUACAGAAAUCUUCUCUCCUGUAGUAAGGCAUACCUCCUUAAGGAUCUUGCUAGCACUGGUAGUAGUAAAUAACAUGCAUCUUGAGCAGAUGGAUGUUAAGACUGCUUUUCUUCAUGGUGAGUUGAAUGAAAUGAUUGUGAUGAAACAACCAGAAGGAUAUGUAGAUCCUAGAAGAUCUGAUCAUGUGUGUCAUCUCAGAAAAUCCUUAUAUGGGCUUAAGCAAUCUCCAAGACAAUGGUACUUGAGGUUUGACAAGUUUAUGCAUGAAAACAGUUUUCAGAGGUGUUCCUUUGAUUGUUGUGUGUAUCAUAAGGAUAUGGGAGAUGACAAAGAAAUUUAUUUGUUGCUAUAUGUUGAUGACAUGCUGAUAGCAUGUAAACAUAUGAAUAAGAUAAAUAAACUAAAACAGCAGCUGAGGGGUUCAUUUGAUAUGAAUGAUCUUGGUGAGGCCAAGAAGAUCCUUGGUGUUGAGUUGAUUAGAGAUAGAAGGAAUGGCACCCUGAUUCUAUCACAGCAGAAUUACAUCAGAAAAGUGCUUGAGAGGUUUGAAAUGGGAAAAGCCAAGCCAGUUCAGACUCCACUACCAGCUCAUUUCAUAUUGUCAUCACAACAGUGUCCAAAAACUGAUGCUGAAAGAUCUGAAGCUAGCUCAAUUCUAUAUUCAAGUGCAGUAGGGUGUCUGAUGUAUGCAAUGGUCUUGACCAGACCUGAUUUGUCCUAUGCAGUGAGUGUAGUAAGUAGAUAUAUGGCAAAUCCAGGGAAAGAACAUUGGAAGGCUGUGAUGUGGAUUUUGAGGUACCUUAAUGGCACCAUAAACUAUGGUUUGAUAUAUGGAACUGAUGGAAGGAAUGAGAUCAAUGUAGAAGGCUUUAUAGAUUCUGACUAUGCUGGAGACCUUGAUAAGAGGAGAUCAUUGACUGGAUAUCUGUUCAGACUGAGUGGGUGCACUAUAAGCUAGAAAGCUUCUUUGCAGAAUGUUGUUGCUUUGUCAACAACUGAAGCCGAGUACACUGCUGCAGCAGAUGCAAUUAAAGAAGCUAUUUGGCUUAAAGGAAUGGUGACUGACCUGGGGUAUGAACAGAGGCAAAUAACAGUUCAUUGUGAUAGUCAAAGUGCUAUCUGUUUAAGCAAAAAUCAGAUACACCAUGAGAAGACCAAACACAUUGACAUCAAGCUUCAUUUUGUCAGCCUGGAAGUGUCUAAAGGAGUGGUAAAACUGGUGAAAAUACACAUUGAUGACAAUGUGGCAGAUAUGUUAACCAAAGCUCUACCUGGUGCCAAGUUUGAGUUCUGUGUGAACUCAGCUGGUGUCUGCAGGAUCUAAGCUGCAGGGGAAAUGGUGAUGGAGAAGAAAGAGGAGUAACAGAUUUGGUUCAAGGUGGAGAAUGUUGAGAAGUGAACUGCAAAUCUGAAGUUUGUAGUUGAGAACGACAUAUCAGUCUUGCGUUUCAGGACUGGAUGAUAUGUCGGUUUUGUGUCACAAAUGAGACGUAUGACAAGCCUGGAGCAUCAGCCAAAUGAAUAAGUUAAGCACGUGAUGUUGCACAUGCUUUACUUACUCUAAACGACUAAAGAAGGCUGCGUUUUGGAUGAAGCUUCUACACGUGUAUUGAAGCCAGUUUGAAAGGCUGUUAAUGCUGUUAAGAUCAGUGGGAAAUUUCUGGGUUUUGUGAGCAACAAACCCAGGUCUGGUGAGCUGGCUUCUGGGGGUUGUUUCUAGAGCAAUUCAGGCGUGUAUAUAAGUGGUAUUCAUUUCAUUGUUGAGUAGUUGAAGUGCGUGAUAGUUUUCUAAGGAAUAUUGUAUCUUGAGUACACUGAAUCAGUAAAGGCUCUUUCUCUCUUUCACAGUGGAUGUAGGUCACUUCGUGACUGAACCACUUAACCCCUUUUGUGUUUCUUUUGUUUGAUAUCUGUUGAUUUCGAUAAAUAGUUCCACGUAGCAUUAGUUGUUCUUGUUUAGUUCUUUGAUUAAAGCUAAGUCGAGUGGAUCUUGGGGGAUUAAGAUUGGUUAUUUGCUGACCUUGGUCCAACAAAUUGGUAUCAGAGCUAGACCCUAGUAGCCGGAAUGUGGUGGUGGAACAACUCAUGUAUGUCGGACGAUAGGACCGGAGUCCGGCGGUGGUUUUGUCCGAGGGGGGGAUUGUUGAGUUGUGUCCCACAUUGGCUAGUAAAGGGGAAAUACUUGGGUUUAUAAGAUGGUAGGUCACUCCACCUAAAAGGUUAACCUUUUAAGUUGGAUACCCAGAAAUCUUAUGCUAAGUCCCCCCAACACUAUCUGGUAUCUAAUGAGCAGAUAAUAUAUACAUAUUUUUACACUUAAUUAUAUGAUUGCUACUUAUUUUUAUUUGUUAUUUUUAAUUAAUUGAAUUAUUUUGUUGAAUAAGGAAUUAAUUGGAGAUUAUGGAGAAAAAAAGGCAUGAAAAAAUUUAAUUUAGGAAAUAAUGAAGAUUAGAUUGGAAGCCAAAAAAACCAAAAGCGGAAGUCAAUUUCUUCAAAUAGUGAAUAGUGGACAUGCAUUUAGAAAACAAAGAUUUGGUGAUGGCAAUUGCACAUGCAUGGUUUUAAAAUUUUGGAAAGCAAUUUAAAGGAACCCGUGAGCUUCCAAUUUAAAAAAGGGGAAACAAACUUAUGGCUUAUGGUGUUGACAAGUAAUGGUGGCAUUAAUUGGGAAAAUUGACUUUAGAAUGGAAAUUGAAUCCAAAUUGGAUCCAGCCAAUAAAGUGUACGGGAUUUGACCAAUAAUUGCAUGGUCCUGGGCAUUGUAUAAUGGUAAGCUAGAAACUAAAAAAAAGGACGCAAGGAGAGACACGAGACAAAGAGAAGAGAAGGGCUGCAGCAAUUUAAUUCUUCAUGGCUGGUUUUAUUUAUUUUGUUACUCUCAAUUCAAGUAUAUUUAACUAAUUUUCUUAUACUAAGGUUAAAGAUGAAAUCAUAUUCAAUGAAAUAAUUAUCUUUAUAUUCAAUUAAUUUCCUACAUAUGUGCUUUAAUGCUUAUGGUUCUUAUUUCACAUGAUUAGUUAGAUGUUAUUAAAUCUUUUCAUCAAUUCUGUCAUGCAUUAUUGAUUGCUAGGAUUAAUAUUUGAUUAAAUUUAUUCUUGGAUUUAUAAAGCUUAUAUAUGAUUAUCUUUGAUUCUGAGUUUUUCAUUAAAUUGUUUCAACAUAGUGCUCAGGAAGAUUUUGACUAUUUGUUAUAGAAUAUGCUUACAUAGGAUGCUUAGAUAUCAUACUAUUAAGCAGAAAACGAACCUACACAAGAUUAAUUUUAAUUGGUCUUAUUUGUUUUAUUCAUGAGAUGACAUAGAUUGAUUUCGAGUUGUCACUCUAAAACUGGGGAUUAAUUAACAAUUAGAUAACUACUAGUUGGAUAGUGGUGGAUUCUGAAACCUUAGUAAUUUUUGUCUUAUUGAAUUCUCAUUUACUUUAAUUGUUUUCUUAUUUUAAUUAGCUUUAUUUCUAUUAAAAACUUAAUUUGCUCAACUAGGUUAGGAUUAAUAUUUUUUUUUUUAUUAAGAGGGGCUCUUUAAAGAGCUAAGAAAUAACAAGGCGGGGAUAAGCUACCCCGUAAAUGUCUUGAGACAUAAAUUGGAGCACCCCUUUAGGUGGAGAGUUAAAAACAUGUAGUCCUAACGGGAGAGAACAAGCUAACGUAGCCAAACAAUCCGCGGCAAAAUUCGCCUCCCUGUAAACGUGAGUAAUCUCCACCCGCCAAUUGCGUCUGAUGAGUUCUUGAAUAGCACGAAUGAGAGGAGAGAACUCAUUGUAAUUCACCAUGUUGUCCUUCACAAGCUGAGUAACACAGCGACUAUCAAUUUCAGCAUACAGCCACCGGAUCCCUUUAUUCCACGCAAGAAGUAAUCCUUGAUAUAGCCCCCAUAAUUCCGCCAUAGUCACUGAGCAAGUCCCUAGAUACAUCCCAAAGCCAGCAACCCAAUGACCAUUGUGAUCGCGAAUCAGACCCCCUGCAGCAGCUACACCAGUCACCUUACAGGCACCAUCUGAGUUCAACUUGCACCAUGGCCAAUUUGGAAGCGACCAACCAAUCCAUUUGUUGACUUUUCUAUUUGUUGAAUUCAAAGAAGAUCCUUGAAGCCAGAUCACCUCCUCCGUGCGAGCCUUGACAUCAUUAACCAUGGAUAAGCCGUCCAUGGAUUGACCGUUCACCCAGAACUGGUUCCGCCAAUACCAUAAACGCCAUAUCGCUAUACCAAAGAAACAAAUCCAGUUUCGGACUCCAUAAAUAGGCCAUGUAUUCUGAAGAUUAUUCAUCAUCCAUUCUUUAAAAGAAGCUUGGAAGAAUCGCUGCCUCAUUUCUACUGGAAUUACCCGAUACCAAAAACCUUUCGUAGCCAUGCAAUCUCUUAGAACAUGCAAGAUGUCCUCAACCGGGGCCCCACAUCUAUCACACUCAGUAUUUAUCAACAUGUGCCGCCUUGCAAUUUCAGCUUUGGUUUUCAGCCGACCAUGAAGAGCUAACCAAAUGAAGACUUUAACUCCCUGCGGGCCUUGCCACUUCCAAGCCAACUUCCAACUAUUAUCCUGUAAAAGAUUAUCCGGAGGACUGAUGGCAUAAUAAGCUGAGGAGACCGAGAAAUUCCCCUUAUUAGAAUGCGACCAAUAGAAUUGAUCCGGACCUAUCAAAACUGAGGGUGGAAGAAUUGACGCAAUCUUCAUGAUGGCAGUGUUAGGAAGAAAUUGAUCGAAUAACGCCCAGUUCCAUAGCCCAUUCACUGCCACACAAUCAGCAACCAUUAGAUGAGUUAGAUGAUCAGGAAUAGGAGAAAUGACCUGACUCGCAAGGGACUUAUCCUUAUAAACCCAGCAGUCCCACCAGAACCGGAUUCUUUUACCAUCACCAACAGACCAGCACACACUCGACAUCGUAUCUCGCCAUAUCUUACCAAUAGCUUUCCACAUAUGAGAUCCAUACCGAGUCGGCAAUGAAAGAGGGGGGUUUGAAAUAUUGACCCCAUAUUUAGUACACAGGACCCGAACCCAUAGGCUAUCCUUUGCUGAGAUGACUCCCCAACUGAGCUUCAUUAAGAGUGCUUUAUUCAUCACAUUUAGAUCCUUAAGUCCUAGUCCUCCAUAAGCCUUUGGUUUGCACAAAGUAUCCCAGCUAACCAUACUCAUCCGUUGCUGAUUGGAAUUUCCACUCCAUAUGAAUUUCCUGCACGCCUUAUCAAUCUUCAGUUUAAUUCCAGUGGGGAGGCUAGUUGUUUGCAUUGCGUAAACCGGGAUAGCUUGUAAGACCGUCUGUGCAAGAGUUAUUCUGCCAGCCAAAGACAGCAGAGACGCAUGCCAACCCGAAAGGCGCUUUUCAACUUUGUCAAUAAUAUUCUGAUAUGUAUGCUGCGAGACACGAGUAUGCAGCAGCGGCAUCCCAAGGUACAUGCCCAAAUCCUUGGUGACCGGGAACCCAAGUUCAGCCCCAAUUCUUUUCAUGCUCCGAGCCGAAAUAUUCUUGGAGAAGAAAACUUGAGAUUUAGUCUUGUUAACUUUGGCUUCUGAGCUCUGGCAAAAAGUAUUCAAGACCAUAUUUAUCACCCCCGCUUGCUCGACAUUUGCUUCAGCCAAGAGUAGGAGAUCAUCAGCAAAAAAUAAGUGAGUUAGAGGAGUACCACGACGAGUAAGUCAAAUCGGCUGCCACUCCCCAGUAGUGACAGCUCUAUCAAUCCCAUGGCUGAGUCUCUCUACACAUAGAACAAAAAUAUACGGGGAAAGAGGGUCUCCUUGUCGUAUACCUCGAGAGGGAACGAACUCAUCAGACGCUUCACCAUUCCAUAAUACUUUCAUUGUAGCCGAAGUAAUACAUUCCAUAAUGAGCUGAAUCAUAUCUCUAGGCAGUCUCGUGUCCUGCAGCGUCUCAUAAAUAAACUCCCAGUUAAGUCUAUCAUACGCCUUUUCAAGGUCUACUUUAAUCGCCAUGAAUCCUUUCUUCCCCGUUUUCUUACGCAUGGAAUGAAUAACUUCUUGGGCAAUCACAAUAUUAUCAAUGAUAUGACGGCCAGGAACAAAACUAGUCUGCUGAGGACCAAUAAGAAUCGGCAUUAGUGCCUGCAGUCUGUUAGCCACAAUUUUAGAAAUGGUUUUGUAUGCCACUGUGCAUAAACUAAUCGGGUGAUACAUUUUUAGAUUCACCGGAUGAUCAACCUUUGGGAUGAGAACUAAAAGCGUAGUGUUAAUUUCCUUAGGAAUACUGCCACUGCUGAAGCUAUGCUUUAUAAAUUUACAGAAUGAGUGUCCAACGAUAUGCCAUUGGGUCUGGUAGAAUAUCGCGUGAAGGCCAUCCACGCCAGGGGCCUUUAGUGGCUUCAUGCUGAAAAUAGUCUGCCGGAUUUCAUUAUCCUCAAUGGGAGCACUGAGCCCUUGAGUGAGAACUGCAUCAAGAAUAGGGAAGCAGCCCCUAAUCGGGUACGGUCGAAAGGCCAAAGUCUCACUAGUGUAAAGAUCCGAGAAGAAAAACGUGGCAUGCUGCUUAAUAAUUUCGUUAUCCACAAGCCAUUCCCCAUUAUCAUUCUGAAUAGUUGUGAUUCGAUUUCUUCUACGUCUGGCCAACGUUUUUUGGUGGAAAUAAGCCGUAUUUCUAUCCCCUUGGGCAAGCCAAUCUUUGCGAGAUUUUUGAAGCCACAAAAUCUCCUCUUGUGUAAGAAUUUCCUCUAACUCCUUCUUCAGCUUGAGCUCUAACUUGACCAAGCUUCGUCGAUUGGUGUUUUCUAACACCUUUUGAAUCCCCCCCAGACGUUCUAGGAUCCACCGCUUCCUCUGAAAUAUAUUCCCAAAAUGGUCUCUGUUCCAAACCAAAGCCUUCUUCACAAAAAUAUCAGCCGCAUUUAAGUACGGCAAACUAUUAAUCCAUGCAUUAGAGACAAACUCACCAAAGGAAUUAUCUGUAAGCCAUGCAGCCAAGAAACGGAAAGGUUUUUGUCCCCUAGCACUGCUGGCUUCAUUACUAAAACGAACUAAGAUGGGUCUAUGAUCUGAAGAAAUCUUUGGCAAGUGUAAAACUGCAUUGUCUGGAUACUUGUUUAGCCAUUCUGUGUUAGAAAUAGCUCUGUCCAGCCUCUUCAUAAGGAGUCCACGAGACCAAGUGUAACGGGGUCCAUGGAAAUUUAAAUCAAACAUUCCAUUCUGAUUAAACCAACCCUUAAACAGACCACAAACCCCAGAAGUAUGUGUAGAGCCACAUCUCUUCUCAUCAGCACAUAGAAUGGAAUUAAAAUCACCUCCCACCAGCCACGGACCAUGAACGGUUUUAGCCAAGAAAUCAAGGUGGUCCCACAGCUGCCUUCGCAAACUAGGAGUAGGGCUCGCGUACACCGCUGUGAUCCAAGAUUCAAGAAUGUUAUUCUUUGAAAUUUUGAAAUGGACGAAUUGCUUGUGGUUAAACGAGACUUCCACUUCAUAAUAACCCCGCCAUAGGAUCCAGAUUCCACCAGAAAAACCCGAAGCUUCAAUACGAUGAGAAUAAUCAAAUCCGCUGCAUUUAAUAAAAUCAUCGGCUUGCUUCCCGCUAAUUCUAGGUUCCAUUAUAAUAACCAUAGAAGGACCAUAAUUUUUAAUAAGGGUAUUAAAAGAGCGACGAAAGCCCUUCGAAGCCGCCCCCUGAACAUUCCAAAAUAGAAUUUGUAUCUUCAUAAGAUAAAGCUUGGAGAAAAGUAUAGACUUACUGCAGUGGCCGAGAUGCCUCUUCCGCUAGGUCCAUGGCCGUUUCUUCAACAAGUGACACAUCACCUUCUGAAGAGUUAGCCCCGUCCUCACUUGUAGCCACAUAAUCACUAUCAUUUGCGUCGUCUUCCAUGUCCAUGUUUGCAACCAAGCCAUUGGAGUUAGAAGGAUCACCGUCCAAUUCUGACAGAGGAAUAUGCCCACCAGCACUGUUGUGGCCAUUGAAGAUUUUUGGCUGGACUUCAGCCAUGAGAAGAGGUGCAGUGGCAUUAUCAGCAGAGAAAGAGAUGGCCGAGUGAUGGAGGGGAUUUAAACUGGUAGGGACGUACACGGGUAAAGGUAAAGGAUUGGGGCUUGCAUGGCUUGCAUGGAGAUUGGUAAAACCUCGUGAGACAUGUGUGUGAACAGGACUUUGAGGAGUUGUAUUUUCUUUAGUAAGAGAUGUCGCAUGCCUUCCAAUAGAUGUAUCCAUGUGUCCCAGAUCUGUGGGGUUAGCUGAUUGGUGGCCAUUUCUCCUUCUAAUGGGUCUAUUUUUUGACGACCAAGUAGGGCUAGAAUUUAUCGUAUUAAUAUCUCUAUGUGUCCGUUCCAUAAGGGCUUCCUGUUUUUCCUCGUGGUUGGAUUCCUCUUCUUCGAGAUUAGCUAAGAUAUUGAAACGUGAUUCCUUCCCAUACUUCCCCCGAAAAACUUGCUCAGUUGCCUGAUUGGAAUUGCUUUCCUUCUCCAUUCUCAACUUUCCUUUACGAGCCACUACCAUCCAUGGCCCGAAUUUUGGCUCAUGUUGGCUAUCAUGUCCGGCCUUACUCGUCCACUGCUGCUCCGCCGGAUCAGCAGGGGUAAGCACGUCGUCCUCAGUCAGCCCAUUCUUUUCCUUAUCUGAGCAGCUUUCCAUAUAAUGUCCGUACUUCCCACAGUGAAAACAAAUAACCGGAAGAUUCUCAUAUUCAACUCUCUGCACUUUACCAUCCAGCUGAAACUGUGAAAUCAGAGGUCUCUUAAGGUCUAUUUCCACAGCAAUACGAGCGAAUUUACCCCUCUGUGCAGAUUCUGUAUUAUAGUCAAUGCGGAUAACUGAGCCAAUGAUUUGCCCAAGUCGUCGAAGUAUUUUCUUGUGAUAAUAAUGCAGAGCCAUGCCCGGGAGACGAAUCCAAGCCACCACUUUAUCUAUCUCCCCUUUAGAACUAUCAAAGUGUGGUGACCAUGGUUGCACCGUCAGAUAGUGUCCCAUAAUAGUCCAAGGUCCAGAGGUUAAAGCAUAAUCCGCAUCUCCUUCAUUCUUGAAACGGACCAAAUAAAAAUCAUUUUCUAGAUCAAUGAUAUUAAAUCCCGGCGUCAUAUUCCACAGCGACUCUAAUCUGUUACACAAAGCCCGAUAUCCUAUGCGGCGACCCAACAGUUUCACCACGACUGUAUUCUUCCAAGGCUUGAUUAACUGCUCAUGCACUUUCGGUGAGAAAGUUAUAGAGGGCAUAGAUUCAGUAUUUUUAAAAAGCACAUCCUCCGGAUUUAAGUCUAAAUCUUCGUCGCAGCCAAACAACUCUUCCUCUGUGUCCUUUUGUGACUUCAUCAAUUGAUCUCGAAAGGAGGGGCGCUCAGAAUUAUCACCAACAUCACUUUGUGCCCGAAACUUUGCCUUCUUGGUGGAACGAUCCUCAGCCAUGGGGGGGGAGGGGUUUUCUCAAAGCUUUCCAUGUUUUUCGGAGCGCUUCUCGACUUAGGUUAGGAUUAAUAUUAAUUUUGAAUUUAAAUUAGACUUUUCAAUUUAUAGCAAUCUCUGUGGGUUCGACCUCGUUAUCACUAUUGUAUUUCUAGAUUCGUGCACUUGCGAGUAUAUUAAAGUUUUUCACAACAGUAUCUGAAGACCACGUUGAGCUCCAAUUAAUACAUAUUCGAGCCGGGUAGGACCACUAGGGCGGCAAAACUCUCCCAAUAAAUAUUUAACGCAGCUGCAUUCCUAAGUCUCAAACCGAAAACCUUUAAAUCUACGCGCUUGUUAGUUUCAUCUUUUUAUCUCUUACAGUUCUGCUAUGCAUGCUCACCUAGGGAAUGAUUGAUUGAGACAUUCAAUUUGAUAUUUAAAAGUCUAACCAAAGAGUAUUUUGAGCUUGAGUUUUACCUCAACGAACCAUUUCCAUAGAUUCAUAAGUUUGUCCUUAUUACAUACAUAUGAGUCUUUUACUACAACGUCCAAGUUUGUUCAACCAUUUAGGUACAAUAUAAUAUGGAAAAAAUAAUAAUCUUAUUCAAAUAACGACACACUUAAGAUUUUAAAUGAAAAUAACUCAAUUAAUUUAUUGGUCAGAAAUUUUAUUUAUUACAAAUAAAAAGUAUGCUUUAAAAAGCAUAGAUCCAUAAUACAAUUUAUUUACUGCUUUGGUUAAUGCUUCCAAUGCUGGAGGCCUCCCAUUAUAGAUUUAAACAACGAGAACUUUAACCAGCAGCUGUGUUUACUUAAAAUGAACAAGAAGGUUACUCACAUGAGUAAAGAUGAAGAGAGAGCCGAGGUUUACUAGGGACAACAACAAGUGGGAUUUUUCUAGGCAUUGUCAGUCCAAAUCUGUCCUCCAUAUCCAAAUCCUCAUUCUUCAUAUCACCUGGUAAUUUCCAUUCAAAACCAUGUAAAAGAUUUGCCAAAGUUGACUGAACAACCUUAAGCCCUAGACCAUAACCCGGGCACAUCCUCCUCCCAGAUCCAAAUGGCAGCAGUUGAAAAUCAUGUCCUUUAACAUCAAUAUUUUUACCGAUGAAUCUGUGAGGCCUAAAUUCAUUAGGCUUUUCCCACAUGGUUGGAUCUCUUCCUAUUGCCCAUACAUUAACAACCACACGAGUGUUUCUUAGAAUGUCAUAGCCAGCAACUCUGCAAUCAUCUCUAGCAACCCGAGGAACAAGCAAUGGUGCCACAGGGUGGAGACGCAUCGUUUCUUUAACAAGUGCUUCUAUAUAUGGAAGGUUAACAAUGUCCUUUUCUUCCACCCAUCUGUCUCUUCCAAUCACUCUAUCUAGUUCUUCAGUCGCCUUUUGAAUAGCUUCUGGAUUUUUCAAGAGCUCUGACAUUGCCCAUUCCACGCUGAUUGCCGAUGUGUCAGUUCCAGCAGUUAAUAGAUCCUAAGAAUCAAAAUGAAAAACGAAUUAUGAUGAUACAGAUUUUCAAUACAGAAGACACCUUGAUAGUUGCAUUAUUUGGUGAUGUUUAAAUUACUCUGUGGGGAAACUAUUGCCUCAAUCAUUUAAAAACCAAAAUUGCACAUAUCAAUUUAGUCCGUUAUACUUAAAAGGGUUAAUUUCCAUUAAUCACUAGAUAAAUUGGUAUAUUUUAAUUUAUCCCCAUGCUGUUAAAAACAUCAAUAUAGCCCUCAUUUAUCAGUACACGAGAAUGAAAUUCUUUCUCGAUCCUUUUGGUUCUCAAUAGUAAACCAUGAGAAAGGGUUAUUAUUUUCAAAAGAUUUGGAAAAUAAAUUGAAAUAUGUCAUACUUGAAAACUACUAUUUAGUUUUUUUUAAAAAGUACACGAAUUAAAUUCAAAUUUAU